Molecule: long non-coding RNA, 1110 nt
Filed under: Phasianus colchicus (ring-necked pheasant)
Lineage: Eukaryota; Metazoa; Chordata; Aves; Galliformes; Phasianidae
Description: lncRNA (ENSPCLG00000001912.1)
Source: RNAcentral
CAUAUUAAAGUUUAGAAGCUGCCUCUAAUGACUGAUGCAUGGUAGACCAUGAUCUUUCCAUGGAAAGUUGAUGGCUGCUACAAGAUAAACUUUGUGUGGGUAAAAUAAAUAACGUCUUUCUCUUAGAAGUUAAUGCAUGACGUUUGGGUAACCAGUGGUGCCAAAUCUGUUGGGAAUAUAUCUGUAAUUAUACCAGGGAAUCACGUAGCUUUCUAAGUUUGGGAAUCUCCUAGGUGAAAGGCUGACUGAUAAGGCAGGAGACCUGCUGGGAUGUUUGCAGAGGUCUCUUUUGGAACUUUAUGUUUACAUGUAAUAGCUUGGCUAACCAGUUCUGCUUCAAGCAUGUGUGUUAGAGCAGCACUGCCUGUGCAUAAGUGGCGGUCUUCAAGUUCUCAUUGCCUACUGGAGGUGUAGGGAUGACAGCAGGUUGCCUGUGUUAGAGUCAGUCAUAAAAGACUGCUUAGAAGCAGGCCAAAUCAGUGGGCAAGGAGCAAGGGACGUGCAUAGGGCCAGAUGUGUGACAAAACGACCAUGCUUUUGAUCUGUCUCAGCAGCAGCUUAGCAUUUGACCUCUCACAUGGGAUGCUAUUCCUCUGAUUGCGUGGACAUCUACAGCUGGUCCAGAGCUAAAUGCUCUUCGCAGCUGCCAGGAAACAGUACUGAUCUUAUCCUAAGGUGGGCAUCAGCUGUAGGCCAGGUUGUCUUGGCUAUUUUGCUGGACCAUCCCUGUAAGGCUGCUCUGCCCUGCUCCUCUCUGCCUCCAGCAGUGCUAUUAAGGAAAGGAGGGAGCUCUGAAUUCCUGCAGUCUCUGGCUAGAGGUAGACCUUAUGGUCAUGAUACACAACGGAUGGCACAGCUGCCACCUCCAGCCUCGUUCUGAGUAUCACUUAACCACCUGUCCAGUAGCAGUGCUGCAUGACAGCUUCUUCCUUAUCACAACCUGCAUGAACCCCCACAGCUGCUUCAUGUGUAGAAAUUAAAAGUUGUCUGGGAAACAUUUCAUGUGUGGCUCUUUGUAACUGGAAAGGCUUGCAGAACUGUAUCAGGCUUGAGUGCAGUGCUUUUUGUAGGCUUUGGAAAUAAACAGGUCAUUAAUCCUAAAAAAGCCCA